GCCGCGGGUCAAGCCCCGGGGGGCUGGCCCUCCCCUGUAGCCGCAAAUCGGGCCAUACGGUGGGGGGCGUUAACCCCCUACCCAGGCCCUCCUCCUCGCCGAGGAGGGGUGGCCUCUGUGGAAAUGAUCCUCGGUCCCAUGGGGUCGCUGGCGGGUGGCGGUGUCUCUCGGAGGAGAGGCAUGCCACCCUUGCCACGCCGCACCGGGUCAGGCCCUGGCGGGAGCAGCCUAAGGCGUGGACAGCGACGUUCAUGGGGUGCCGGGGCCGAUCCACAAGCCGCUCUAAGCCUCGGUGAGCGGGGGUCGAGGUAGGGGGGAUGCCGCGGC
This 327-nucleotide signal recognition particle RNA is filed under the name Thermoprotei archaeon. RNAcentral describes it as "signal recognition particle sRNA". It matches the Rfam family "Archaeal signal recognition particle RNA". Lineage: Archaea; Thermoproteati; Thermoproteota; Thermoprotei. The record is from RNAcentral. RNAcentral also lists the same sequence under 1 other name.